UUACUGACGCACUAGAGUACACGUGUCUUUAUACGUGAGUAUGUAUUGAGGUUACUUACGAACUAAAGUAACCGAUGUAUUCUGGUUACAUACGAACUAAAGUAACUGAUAUAUUGAUAUUACUGACGUACUAAAGUACACUUGUCUUUAUACGUGAGUAAGUAUUAAGGUUACUUACGAACUACAGUAACCGAUGUAUUCUGGUUACAUACGAACUAAUAUAACUGAUAUAUUGAUAUUACUGACGCACUAGAGUACACUUGUCUUUAUACGUGAGUAAGUAUUAAGUUUACUUACGUACUAAAGUUACCGAUGUAUUCUGGAUACAUACGAACUAAUAUAUUGAUAUUACUGACGAACUAAAGUACAGUUAUCUAUAUAUUAUACGUCAGUAUGUAUUAAGUUUAGUUAUGUACUAAAGUAACCGAUGUAUUCUCGUAACAUACGAACUAAGGUAAGAGAUAUAUUUUAGUAACUUACGUAUUAUUAUUUGUUAUAUUAUGAUUUAUUUUUGGUUUCGCAAUUAAUCUUUUUGGUUAUGUGUAUUUAGAUAGCUAGAGAUCUGUUUAUCAUUUGCAGUUUGUCUAUAAAACAUUUUUUUAAAUAUUCAAUUAUAUUGAAGUGGGUACACAUCAUACUUUGAAUGUAUAUUGUCAUAAUCUUCACUUCUAAGAUCAGAUGAAAUUGACGUGAAGAUUAUUACAGAAACUCAGAAGACUCUGUUUUCAAGACAAGUGUGGUUAAUUUUAUGGCAAUUUAAUAAUGUUAUUAUCUAUCAUGUUGUAAAAUAUUAUAAAAAUUCAAUAUUUUUCUCUCUUCUCACUUUUCACAGUAGUAUUUUCUACAGCGCAUAUCUUAGUGUUACGAAAGUUAUAAGAAUGAGGUAAUUCAAAAAAAAAACAAUUAAAGAUACUCCAUGUAAAUAUACAAUAUAAAAUAUACUUGGAAUCUUUAUAGAAUAGUAGGUUUUAGGAUAUUAAUAAUGUUAACUGUGUAUGAAAUGCAACGAAGUGUUUUUUUUAUAUUACUCAUAUUUUUCAAGUAAUUGGCUUUAAUCUGAAUUUAUUCUACGAAAUUAUUAAUUUUUAAAUUUGUUUAGUUAGUUUUUGUAUUUUAAUAAUCAUUGUUUAAGAUGCGCGUAAAUGUAUCGCAAAUAACGUAUGACUUGAAUAAUAAUUUAUAUUUACGUAUAUAGUUUAUCAAAUAAAGUCAGCAAAUGCUUUGAUGCGAAAUUUGGAAAAAAAUUGCUAUUAAUGAUUUUGAGCACAUCUUGCUAUCCGAAAGGAUCGCGUGAGUAGUUAUAAAAUACAGAGUAGUAUUGCCGAUAUUUCGUUCUCGCUCGCACAUGUGUGUAUGAUUGAUAAAAAAAGUUUUUUGACAUAUUUACUUGGAUCACUUCGUAUUAUUUGACCUUAUUACUAAUGUAAAUAUUAAUUAUAAUGUAUGUUUUUAUAUUAACAGUUAAUGACGCCAUUAAUACGGACGUAUGAGUGAAGAUGCAGAGUUUAUAAAGUAUUGUAUGAUAUCGUUCACAAGUGUUCUUGAAUCUAUAGUCGUUAAGAAGUUACCAAUUGAUUAUUUUAUUUAACACACACUGAAUCUGUCUAUAUUGAGACUUAGGAACAAUUAUUAAUUAAACGCCUACUUAUUAUGAACAAUAUAAUAUGAAUAUUUUAAUUUAUUUAUGUUUAUCACGGCACUGACAAUAACACUACUCUUUCGCUGACGAGGCGAACUUGGUGGCUUCUUUGCAGAGAAAAAAACAGUGGUCAUGCACGAAACCGAUUUGUAUACGUGUCGGAAGGUAGCACAUGAUACAUCUAAAAUACUUAAUAUAUAUACAUCUAUUAAGUAUAUAUACUUUCGUCGUACACCGGUGUGAAACGUGACAAUUUACGAAAGUCAAUUUUUGUAUAAGUACUUUAUAUUGUCUCAAGGUAUAAUAAUAAUAUUUAGGCAUAUGAUGGCCGGCCUGUUGCCCUGGAUUUUGUAUAAAAAAAACUAGUUAAUAUGUAAAAAUUACUACAAAUAUUAUGAUUAUGUACUUUCUUUUACAGUUGUGUUAAAACAACACUGUCGACCAUUUUGUUCAUGAUUGUAUAACUUACACUUACUUAUAAUCAUACUAAGUCUCAACUGGCGAGUUUUUUUUUUAUAAUAGUUUGCCCGACUUUUCUAUAUCAAAGAUGUCUUCGGUGACUAAGAAGAUUGUAGUCUUCUGUGCUGAUUGCAGCGCCCUCUAGAAAGUAAAGUUGAAAGCAUUGCAUUAGUUAUUUACAAACGUUUUAUAAUAUUGGUUUGAAUCUGGGUGCCAUGACAAAAGUACCAAAAAUAGUUUGUUAUAGCAAAGUUCCUUGACGACGCGUGACCUUGUGAUGUUAAUUGUAAGUAUAUAGAAAUACAAAUAUUGUAACGUCAAGUACAAAUAAAAUGUUUUUCAUCUUA
Molecule: long non-coding RNA, 2445 nt
Organism: Leptidea sinapis
Lineage: Eukaryota; Metazoa; Arthropoda; Insecta; Lepidoptera; Pieridae
Exons: 2
Source: RefSeq, a predicted model, not a curated record